RNAcentral lists this ribosomal RNA (403 nucleotides) under uncultured bacterium. RNAcentral's name for it is "partial 16S ribosomal RNA". It matches the Rfam family "Bacterial small subunit ribosomal RNA", at positions 30 to 526 of the family's 1533-position model. The record is from RNAcentral.
AUUGAACGCUGGCGGCAGGCCUAACACAUGCAAGUCGAGCGAGCGGCGUACGGGGGAGUAAUGUAUUGGGACUGCCCGUUAGAGGGGGAUUACUACUGACAACGGUAUCUUAUACCGCCUACUCUCGGGUAACCCCUAUGGGAGUAGCUAGUAGGUGAGGUAAUGGCUCACCUAGGCGCCGAUCCCUAGCUGGUCUGAGAGGAUGAUCAGCGACACUGGGACUGAGACACGGUCCAGACUCCUACGGAGGCAGCAGUGGGGAAUAUUGCACAAUGGGCGCAAGCCUGAUGCAGCCAUGCCGCGUGUAUGAAGAAGGCCUUAGGGUUGUAAAGUACUUUCAGUCGGGAGGCGUUACCGGCAGAAGAAGCACCGGCUAACUCCGUGCCAGCAGCCGCGGUAAUAC